AGCAGGAUGGAGAAGUGGUUAUCUCGUCUGGCUCAUAACCAGAAGAUCGUGGGUUCAAAUCCCACUCCUGCAACCA
RNAcentral lists this transfer RNA (76 nucleotides) under Bacteroidota bacterium. RNAcentral describes it as "Bacteroidetes bacterium tRNA-Met". It matches the Rfam family "tRNA". From Rfam's summary of the family: Transfer RNA (tRNA) molecules are approximately 80 nucleotides in length. Their secondary structure includes four short double-helical elements and three loops (D, anti-codon, and T loops). Lineage: Bacteria; Pseudomonadati; Bacteroidota. The record is from RNAcentral.